GGUGAACAGACAGAUACUGUUUCCAGACAACCUCUGUCAAGGACAGAAUGGGGCAGAGGUGUGACCAGAGUCGUGAAGGAGACAGCUGUGCAGACGCUUGACCCUGCCUUUGCCUACCAGUGGACCAAGGGUAAGUCGGGCCUGUGAGAACCUGGGUAGGCCCCUGUGGCGCUGUGGUGUCCUUGGGUGCAGGCUGUAAUUUAAGAACGAUAGCCUUAUCUUUUCCUGUUCUAGAUCCCAAAUAAUUGACACAAAGACCUAUUAAGUUUACUAACAAGCUUUAAGCGCUGUGCCUGGGCAGAUAUUCAUCUAUUCCAUGAACAGUUGUAGACAUCUAAGCUGUCUACAUCCCAGUCAUGCUAUCCUUCACCUUCAAAACAAGUCUCGCCCUGUCUUGUUCUGGUCCAAGUGUGUCCUCAUGUCUGUUCUCUCAUUGAGACCUCAUGUCAGAUCCCUUGAUGACCUCAUCACAACUCCUCAUGGCCACCUCCCUAUGGUCCUUCCCUUGCUUCUCUUGACCUGGGACCCUUGCUGAAUCAGCUCUUUAUUGAGAUGAUGGAAGACAAUUGUUUCAUAAC
This 578-nucleotide long non-coding RNA is filed under the name Rattus norvegicus (Norway rat). Its description in RNAcentral is "long non-coding RNA NONRATT011823". Lineage: Eukaryota; Metazoa; Chordata; Mammalia; Rodentia; Muridae. The record is from RNAcentral.